UGCUGAGCUGAAAAGGAAAUGGAUUC
Molecule: non-coding RNA, 26 nt
Filed under: Homo sapiens (human)
Lineage: Eukaryota; Metazoa; Chordata; Mammalia; Primates; Hominidae
Source: RNAcentral